RNAcentral lists this ribosomal RNA (151 nucleotides) under Bjerkandera fumosa. RNAcentral's name for it is "5.8S ribosomal RNA". It matches the Rfam family "5.8S ribosomal RNA". Rfam says of the family: 5.8S ribosomal RNA (5.8S rRNA) is a component of the large subunit of the eukaryotic ribosome. It is transcribed by RNA polymerase I as part of the 45S precursor that also contains 18S and 28S rRNA. The record is from RNAcentral. Lineage: Eukaryota; Fungi; Basidiomycota; Agaricomycetes; Polyporales; Phanerochaetaceae.
AGCAACGGAUCUCUUGGCUCUCGCAUCGAUGAAGAACGCAGCGAAAUGCGAUAAGUAAUGUGAAUUGCAGAAUUCAGUGAAUCAUCGAAUCUUUGAACGCACCUUGCGCUCCUUGGUAUUCCGAGGAGCAUGCCUGUUUGAGUCUCAUGGA